Malania oleifera is the source of this 1791-nucleotide RNA transcript. It is a transcript of the gene named putative threonine aspartase, with no coding region annotated. Lineage: Eukaryota; Viridiplantae; Streptophyta; Magnoliopsida; Santalales; Ximeniaceae. The record is from RefSeq and is a predicted model, not a curated record. The transcript has 12 exons.
AGUUUGGGUCUGCCGGUGAAAAAAAUAGGAGUUUAGUGCCGAUAUGAAAUUAACUUGUCAAUAUUUUGGAGGGCGUCCUUGCAUUUUCUCAGGGGUCGUCUGCACUCUGCAAAUUUUGCACUCUGCCGCGUCUGAGUAGUGACGAGAGACUCUUCUCUGUUUCCGGCUGCAGUCAUAUGGCUAGCGAAGCAGUUCAGAGCCGUCCAUUCUUUGUUGCUGUGCAUGUAGGGGCAGGGUUUCACUCUCCUUCCAACGAGAAAGCUCUCAGGUCCGCCAUGAACCGAGCUUGCCUCGCUGCUGCUUCUUUUCUUCGCAAGGGUUCUGGUGGAUGUUUGGAUGCUGUUUCGGCUGCUAUUAAAGUGUUAGAGGAUGAUCCAAGCACAAAUGCGGGCCGAGGGUCGAAUUUGACAGAGGAUGGUCAUGUAGAGUGUGAUGCUAGUAUUAUGGACGGUGAUUCUGGAGCAUUUGGAGCUGUUGGAGCAGUGCGAGGUGUCCGAAAUCCUAUUCAAAUUGCUGCUGCCUUGGCCAAGGAACAAAUGAUGGGAUCAUCUUUGCUGGGUCGAAUACCCCCAAUCUUCUUGGUUGGUGAAGGAGCCCACACAUGGGCAAAGUCCAAGGACAUUGUUUUUCCAGACUCGAUAAUAGAGGCUGAUGAGUGGCUGGUGACUGAAAGGGCAAAAGCACAAUGGCAGAGAUAUAAAUCAAUGCUUGAUGAUGCUAAGGCUAAGACAGGGAUUUCUGCAGUAGAACCUUCUUGUACUCCUCAAGAGAUUGUUGCAAUAUCAGAAUUAGCAGCUCAACCUUUUGAUCCUUCAAUGGGAAAUGGGGAUAACCAGUCAUAUACACCAAGUGUAUUGGAAGAUUACUGUAUUAUGGACACUGUUGGAGUAAUUUGUGUCGACGCUGAAGGACACAUUGCAUCUGGGGCCUCUAGUGGUGGUAUUGCACUGAAGGUCAGUGGACGUGUUGGAUUAGCAGCAAUGUAUGGUUCAGGUUGUUGGGCAUCCUCAAAAGGUCCGUUUGGGGCUCCGUUCAUUGUUGGUUGUUGUGUAAGUGGUGCCGGAGAAUACCUAAUGAAGGGAUUUGCUGCUCGGGAGUGUUGCAUCUCAUUAUCACUAUCACAGGCAGGUCCAGCUUCUGCUUGCAUGGAAGUUCUAAGAUCUGUUGUUCAAGAUUGCAGUCAACAGGGUACUGAUAGUAGUGCUGGAAUUUUGCUAGUGCAAGCUGAUGCCCUUGGAAUUGAUUCUGAAAACUCACCAAGGCUGGAAGCUAUAGAGAUUGCAGCUGCCUACUCUUCCUCAUCUUUUGGAAUUGGUUAUUUUGGGAACUCUAUGGAACGGCCCAAGGUUUCAAUUCUGAGGAGUACAAAACAGAAAAGCAGAACUGGGGUAGACCAUUUUGAAGCAAGAAUUGACCUUGCUACCCAAUAAUUAUUGUGUCCGGGCCAGUACAAACAAUUCUACAGAAUCUACUCCAGUAUUUCAAUUUUUCAGGACAAUUACUAUUUUUCGGAUGGGAAGGGGAGGGGGCUGUGGACAUGAGCUUUUGAUGGCUCUGCUGUUUCUUUCAUAAUUCUCGAAGAAUAAUUGCUUACCACCCUUGCUACUGGUUUGUUGGUUUGUGCAUGUUAUGCAUACAAUUCUUGAGCCUCUCUCUUUUAGCUCUUUUUUUUUCGUCUUGCAUAAUGGUAUUUGAAUGACAUUUCUUUGGGCCUUGCUUGGAACUUAAAAAAAUAUGAAGAGGAAAAUCUAUUGUGGAAGAAAUAAAAUAUGCUAUAAUUGAUGGAUAAAA